This 1659-nucleotide long non-coding RNA is filed under the name Homo sapiens (human). RNAcentral's name for it is "HSALNT0107357". The record is from RNAcentral. Lineage: Eukaryota; Metazoa; Chordata; Mammalia; Primates; Hominidae.
CAGGGAUCAGAACAGUGAAACUCAGGUUAAUGAGUAAAGAGUGAGAAUAUGUGUUUGUAUGUUUCUUAAUCCCAUCUACUAGGUGAUUACAAAACUCAUUCAAAGUUGAACACAGUAGAGGUAUUUCAAGUUGCUUUAGAGAGAGAAUUACACACACACAAAAAAUCUUUAGGAGCCAGACAACCACUGUGGACACCAAUAAGAGAGCUCCAACAUUGGUGAGGUAUAGACCCGUCAAAGUUGUUGGUAAUAACAGCAAGGUCCAUCUGGCAAGAUUGGUCACCUGUGGUGGAAGUGGUGGUGACAGCAGGGAUGCAACUGCAGCAAUCAAUGAUGAUGAUCUCACUAGGGUGGGGAGGUGUUAAAGGCAUCUUCACAGCAGCACAGUGCCCAGAAUGCCAAAGAGCAGCAGGAUGGAUCCAGCAUCCUCUCCUGAUAAAAGAGGGCUAGAAGACGGGAGGCUCCGGGAAGUCUACUGGAGUCAUGAAGACACUGAAAAGUGAUGAAUCCACAUAACCAUGACACUGGAAAUGAAGUUUGAGUGGCAGUCAGAAUCUGGGAGGAAGCAUUGCUAAGUGAAAAUCUUAUGGAGCUUGACUAAAAAUCCCUGUCAGGAACCGUCAAAAGCUGUGUCCCUGACAUGAAAAAUCUUGCUGGAAGUUGAGAGAGGUUUAUGCCUACUCCGUGAUCCGGGAACACAAGACCUUUACCAACCAAAAAAGUGGAUAGCUGUUCUUCUGCUGUGAAGGUUAAUAAAGAACGCCAGAAGUGCCAAGCAAUUAACAACCCCAGAAGCAACCCUUAACCAAUGAUUAAAUAAAGUGGAUGAUUACAUACCCAAGCUCCUUCAACUCCCAGGGACAUAAUUCUGAGCCCUGUCCACCACAGCCAGCUGGCUGAAGAGCUCAAAAGGCAAGAAAUCAGCAAGAGAGAGAGAUGAAGCAUGAGAAAUGAGCAAAAAACACCCAGCACAUCAUAAUCUUGGACAGUUUAGCAGUACAUGAAAAUAGAUGGUCCUCGCCCCAAGGGACUGCAGUAACCCUGAAUAAACAGGAUGUCUCUCACUUUUAGCAGUUCUUUCUGUGCUAGUAUUGGGGAAAUAUAUUUUUGGCUGCAUGCAAAAUGGUAAAAGACAUCUAUUAAGAAAAUGAAAACAAUGCUUCUGUUUUAGACGAAGCUUUUGAAGGUUUAAGGAUCACCUAUUUAUUGACAAAAUUGUUUCCGUGGCUUAAAAAUAAAAUACAAACAAAUACUACAGGUAUUCUUGCCUUCUCAUUCUACUUAAAAUCACAUUUCCAAAGACUUUCUUCUCUACUUAAAAACAGGAAUUAAGAAAUACUCAAAAGAGAUCCUAGACAAAACUAACAUUUCAGCAACCAAAGAUAAAUCAUGCUUUUAGAGGAAGAUGCUAGGUUCUAGAAUCUCUCUGAACACCGUGUAGCACUAAGAAACUACAAUCACUGGCUGAGACCUUGAUCAAAUAAUGGCUAACAUAUAAGAUGCUUAUUCUAGUCAGGCACACUUCUAAGAGCUGUAUAUCUGCUAAUUCAUUUAUUCUCCUAGGAUAUAAAGGAUCAGCAGAUCCUUCAGGCUCUGGUAUGUUCUGAGAUGAGUUAACCCAGAAAUUGUCAUCAAAAGACAGAUUCAGCAAAACGGAAA